UACAGAGGCCCCGAGCGUUAUCCGGAAUUAUUGGGCGUAAAGGGUGCGUAGGUGGUUCUAUUAGUCGAUCGUGAAAGAUCCGGGCUCAACCCGGGGAACGCGCUCGAAACGGUAGGACUCGAGUAGUUGAGAGGUGAACGGAACUCAUGGAGUAGGGGUGAAAUCCGUUGAUAUCAUGGGGAACACCAAAUGCGAAGGCAGUUCACUGGCAACUUACUGACACUCAAGCACGAAAGCGUAGGUAGCGAAU
RNAcentral lists this ribosomal RNA (250 nucleotides) under uncultured bacterium. RNAcentral's name for it is "partial 16S ribosomal RNA". It matches the Rfam family "Bacterial small subunit ribosomal RNA", at positions 524 to 773 of the family's 1533-position model. The record is from RNAcentral.